Molecule: ribosomal RNA, 223 nt
Filed under: Serratia nevei
Lineage: Bacteria; Pseudomonadati; Pseudomonadota; Gammaproteobacteria; Enterobacterales; Yersiniaceae
Description: partial 23S ribosomal RNA
Rfam family: Bacterial large subunit ribosomal RNA
Source: RNAcentral
UGGCUUAGAAGCAGCCAUCAUUUAAAGAAAGCGUAAUAGCUCACUGGUCGAGUCGGCCUGCGCGGAAGAUGUAACGGGGCUAAACCAUGCACCGAAGCUGCGGCAGCGACGCUUAGGCGUUGUUGGGUAGGGGAGCGUUCUGUAAGCCGUUGAAGGUGGCCUGUGAGGGUUGCUGGAGGUAUCAGAAGUGCGAAUGCUGACAUAAGUAACGAUAAAGCGGGUG